GGAUAGGCAUAGGAGUAGACGUAGGGAUCUUCCAUCCAGUUACAUUAUUCGCUGCUUUCUUUGCUUCCAGUGACUAACCCCAGUGUCAGCUACACACACACACACACAAGCAUUCCAUUUUUCAUAAUAAAAAUUUAAUAA
This is a long non-coding RNA of Drosophila subobscura, 141 nucleotides long. RefSeq lists it as uncharacterized. The transcript is spliced from 3 exons. Lineage: Eukaryota; Metazoa; Arthropoda; Insecta; Diptera; Drosophilidae. The record is from RefSeq and is a predicted model, not a curated record.